RNAcentral lists this transfer RNA (72 nucleotides) under Loxodonta africana (African savanna elephant). It matches the Rfam family "tRNA". Rfam says of the family: Transfer RNA (tRNA) molecules are approximately 80 nucleotides in length. Their secondary structure includes four short double-helical elements and three loops (D, anti-codon, and T loops). Lineage: Eukaryota; Metazoa; Chordata; Mammalia; Proboscidea; Elephantidae. The record is from Rfam by way of RNAcentral.
GCCCUGGUGGCACAGUGGUUAAGUGCUUGGCUGCUAACCGAAAGGUCGGUGGUUCGAACCCACCCAACUGCU